Molecule: long non-coding RNA, 460 nt
Organism: Helianthus annuus (common sunflower)
Lineage: Eukaryota; Viridiplantae; Streptophyta; Magnoliopsida; Asterales; Asteraceae
Exons: 2
Source: RefSeq, a predicted model, not a curated record
GAUUCGAUUGUACAAUAGAAUUAUUAACCCGCAUAUAGCAUGUAGUAGUGGAUGACAUUCAUACGGAUUAUUAAAGGCCGAGUGAUGGGAACUUACAACAAGAACUGCGAGAGUACUAAAGAAGAAUAGAACAUAUCCAAAUGAACGUGACGCAGAUGCUGUUGCUGCUACUGAAACUUCCAUCGAAGCAGUUUGUACGUCUGGAUGAAUGGGACGCGGAUGCUGGCUUUUUAUUGUUGUGGGAAUCUUUGAUGGUUGUGACACGGGUCAUUUAGAGUUUUAUGGAUCAAGAAUUCUUUGGAUAUUUGAUUAACAAAUGUGGUACACGUUUUGCACUUUAAUGGAAACCACAAUAUCAAGACAUGAAGUGACAUAGCCAACUCCUACAAACACUCGUUCAUGUAUUGAUUGAUGUAACAUUUAUAAGGGUGGAGGGUAUAGUCAAAAACAACUUUGGAUG